This 383-nucleotide ribosomal RNA is filed under the name uncultured eukaryote. RNAcentral describes it as "partial 18S ribosomal RNA". It matches the Rfam family "Eukaryotic small subunit ribosomal RNA", at positions 592 to 976 of the family's 1831-position model. The record is from RNAcentral.
CAAUAGCGUAUAUUAAAGUUGUUGCAGUUAAAAAGCUCGUAGUUGGAUUUCUGGUGGGAGCGAUCGGUCUGGCGCUUAGCGCGAGUACUUGCAUCGUCUCCGGCCAUCCUUGGGGAGUGUCUGUCUGGCAUUAGGUUGUCGGGCAGAGGAUCCUCAUCGUUUACUGUGAAAAAAUUAGAGUGUUCAAAGCAGGCUUAUGCCGUUGAAUAUAUUAGCAUGGAAUAAUAAGAUAGGACUUUGGUACUAUUUUGUUGGUUUGCGCACCAAAGUAAUGAUUAAUAGGGACAGUUGGAGGUAUUCGUAUUCCGUUGUCAGAGGUGAAAUUCUUGGAUUUACGGAAGACGAACUACUGCGAAAGCAUUUACCAAGGAUGUUUUCAUUAA